RNAcentral lists this unclassified non-coding RNA (392 nucleotides) under uncultured fungus. Its description in RNAcentral is "partial contains 5.8S ribosomal RNA and internal transcribed spacer 2". The stretch from base 1 to 133 matches the Rfam family "5.8S ribosomal RNA", at positions 22 to 154 of the family's 154-position model. The record is from RNAcentral. Lineage: Eukaryota; Fungi.
UGGUUCUCGCAUNGAUGAAGAACGCAGCGAAACGCGAUAGGUAAUGUGAAUUGCAGAAUUCAGUGAAUCAUCGAAUCUUUGAACGCACAUUGCGCCUCUUGGUAUUCCGGGAGGCACGUCUGCUUGAGCGUCAGCAAAAACCAAUCGGCGACGGUUCUGACCGGUCGCCGGGAUUGGGGCGGGGCGUCGGGGUGAAACCCCCUCCCCCCCUUAAUAUGGUCGAAGCUUGCGGGCCGGUGUCCCACGACCGAAGCGUAGUAGAUGUGACAGUUAAAUCCGCUGGGCUGUCGGGGACGGCGUGCACGCCUCUUUUUGCAACCGACGGUCUGAACCCCAACCCGGGGGGAGGACCGCUGACGUUUGACCUCAAGUCAGAUGAGGAUACCCGCUGA